This is a non-coding RNA of Globicephala melas (long-finned pilot whale), 700 nucleotides long. The record is from RefSeq and is a predicted model, not a curated record. Lineage: Eukaryota; Metazoa; Chordata; Mammalia; Artiodactyla; Delphinidae.
GGACUUGGCAGGUGGAGGUGCGGAGCCGGAUCAGGGCCUUGCAAUAGACGCGGGUCUAGACAAUGAGAGGAUAGAAGGAGUUGGGGAACAGUAGCUUGUUAUUCAACUGCAGAAGAAAGAACAAAGAUAAUCUCUGGUUGAAGGAAUCUACUCUGCACCUAGGUACUGCGAGAUUCAGAAGAUUAUCAGGGGAACACCAGGGCUAGUUCCUAACAAUACCGAAGCCUUAAGGGGAAGUGUCAGUUCAGUUCCUGAUAGCAAGUACUGCUUAUCUUUUUCUCAUAUUUAACAAAUACGUGAAUUGGAAACAUAGGUGUGGAGGCUUCUGGGGGAAAUGAGGCAGAGAAAGUGAGUGUCUCAAACCUUAAAGAGGAAGAAACAGGCAAUAGACAAUUGCAGAGCACAGGCUCCAGACGCGCAGGCGCAGCGGCCAUGGCUCACAGGCCCAGCCGCUCCGCGGCAUGUGGGAUCUUCCCGGACCGGGACACGAACCUGUGUUCCCUGCAUCAGCAGGCGGACUCUCAACCACUGCGCCACCAUGGAAGCCCUGUGUUAUUCUUUAUACUCAUGUUGGCUUUUAAAACAGAAAUGUUUCCUGAUAUGCAGUCAUAGUACUGCUGUGAUGGUUUACUGACUCCUCUCAUUUGCUCACCAAAGACAUCUCACUUUACAUGGACCUUGCAGGCGACAAUAGAAUGGC